This is a long non-coding RNA of Prionailurus viverrinus (fishing cat), 382 nucleotides long. RefSeq lists it as uncharacterized. The record is from RefSeq and is a predicted model, not a curated record. The transcript has 4 exons. Lineage: Eukaryota; Metazoa; Chordata; Mammalia; Carnivora; Felidae.
CUGGAUAGAUCCUUUUUCUGGCAAAUCAGAGUCCUUCAUUUUCUUGGCACAAAGACUGGCCUGGAGAAGCUAAAAGGAUAUCAGUCUGGAGAAAGCUGAGGGUAGACAUAUAAGAAGCCAAAUGGAGACCAGACGAAAUGAGGGAAGCAGAAGAACAGACUUACAGCCAACUGGAGGCAGAUGGUCCUGCUGACGACGGGUCAGAAGGUCAGUGGUCACCUACCUCUACGUCACAAUCCUGCGUCCUUCACCGACUUCUCAUCACAGAGGCAUUUUCUCACCUCACAUCAUUACGAGUAGGGGCUCAUGAAAGAUACAAGCUCAAGACAAAAGAGAACAAGAAAACCUUGGAACCAGAUUUCUGGUCACAAUAAAAAUUACU